Molecule: ribosomal RNA, 301 nt
Filed under: uncultured bacterium
Lineage: Bacteria
Description: partial 16S ribosomal RNA
Rfam family: Bacterial small subunit ribosomal RNA
Source: RNAcentral
CAGUCGCCGCGGUAAUGCGAAGGGUGCAAGCGUUAAUCGGAAUUACUGGGCGUAAAGCGUGCGCAGGCGGUUUGUUAAGACAGAUGUGAAAUCCCCGGGCUCAACCUGGGAACUGCAUUUGUGACUGGCAAGCUAGAGUGUGGCAGAGGGGGGUGGAAUUCCGCGUGUAGCAGUGAAAUGCGUAGAUAUGCGGAGGAACACCGAUGGCGAAGGCAGCCCCCUGGGCCAACACUGACGCUCAUGCACGAAAGCGUGGGGAGCAAACAGGAUUAGAUACCCGUGUAGUCCCUGUCUCUUAUAA